RNAcentral lists this long non-coding RNA (686 nucleotides) under Medicago truncatula (barrel medic). Its description in RNAcentral is "lncRNA gene14059". Lineage: Eukaryota; Viridiplantae; Streptophyta; Magnoliopsida; Fabales; Fabaceae. The record is from RNAcentral.
GGGGCUUCACUUCUGCUAUCUUAUAAGAAACUUGAAACUGGAACCUAUAUCACAUAAUGUUUUAUAGGGUCAUUUUAUUCAAACAAUUUCAAUCCAAAAUCUCAAAUUUCAAAUCAAUUCAAACAAUUUCAAUCCCUAUUUUUUCAAUCUCCAUUUAAUACAAACAAUUUCAAUCCCAAAUCAAUCCACUACUCAAGAGAUAACAAUCCUCAAUCAAUCUCAAAUUGAUUCCACUGUAUAUCAAAAUUCAUCAAAUUUGAAAUUAAAUUGAGAAAAUGGGAGAAGGUGAAUUGCUGGUUGAAGCGAGGUUGCAAAGAAUGGGUUUAGGUUAUGUUCUGCUUCUAAGUUGCUUUCUGCAAAAUGUACGUGGCGCGGCCUAAUUGGGUCAAAGGUAUGUGCCUUUGGGACCUUAAAGGCAUUGAAGUGCUGCCCAAUCCUCUUUCGUAUAAUUUAUUUAUAAUUAUAAUACAACGCAUAUAGGUUAAGACCGUUGUUAGUCAAGAAAAACGUCCUACUAUGUAUAGUGGGUGUAACAAGGAGUGGUUAAUUAACAAGAACAAGAACACAUUUUUUAACAAAAACUUUUUUAUAAUUUAUCAUCCUUUAAAAAAAAUGAAGGGUUUAGAACACAAUUUUUUAACAAGAACAACGACUACUAGAAAGAGAAAGACACCGUUGGCAUUUAA